AAUGAUCAGAGUUCUACCUUCAUACUGUGAAUAUUUCAGAGUUCUAGGUCCUUGGAGUCCAUAGAGGUGGGUCCAGAUUUAUCACCUUUUAAUUGACUUUUCCCAUCAUUUCUGAGCCUCAGAACUUCAUCAGUCCAGCAGAUAGAACCAUGACAUUUUAGGAGGAAAAACACAUCUGAGUUCUGAUAAAAACUGACACCAGAUCAAUUUUAGAUCCACAACAAGUGUCACAAGAUAAAGAUUAAAUUAGUUUUGGUCUUCAGGAACUAAGUAAGUUCAGGAAUAAUUUUUAUCAUAAAAAGAGACAAAAUCACCACAAAAAUAAACACCCUAAAGACUAAAAUUAGCCACAAAAAACUGCAAAGUGACCUCAAAAUGAGCUGAAAUUACCACAAAGAUACACAAAAUCAUCACAAAAAGACACAAAAGCACCACAAAAAAAGAAAAAAAAGGCCUUCUGGAGUAAAAUUCUGUGGUCAGAUAGAACAAAGCCUGAUCAGAAAUCAGUUUGGAAGAGAGAAGGUGAGGCCUUUAACCCCAAGAAUACCAAACCUACCAUCAAGCAUGGAGGUGGUAGCAUCAUGCUCUGUGGAACUGGAGCUUUCCACAAAGUAAAUGGAAUAAUGAAGAAGGAGGAUCACCUCCACAUUCUUCAGGAAAACCUAAAACCAUCAGCAGAAGGUUGAUCUUGGACACAGUUGGAUGUUUCAACAAGACAGUGAGCCCAAACACACAUCAGACGUGGUAAAGAAAUGGUUCCAUCAGGCUGGAAUGAAGGUUCUAAACUGGUCUCCCCAAAGUCCUGACUUAAACCCAUCAAGAACCUGUGGACUGAUGAAGAAACAAGUCUGAGUCUGAAAGACAAGUUCAGUUGAACUGAACCAAUUCUGUCCAGAGGAGUCAAAGAGAAACCAGAAGGCUGGAACCAGAAGAACCCAACUGAGGAGGAAAUGGACAAAUUUAACCAAAUUUUAACAUUUCUGUUUGUAUAUUUAUAUGUUUACUCAGAGGAGUCAGCAGCUGUAGUCGACUG
This is a long non-coding RNA of Amphiprion ocellaris (clown anemonefish), 1033 nucleotides long. Lineage: Eukaryota; Metazoa; Chordata; Actinopteri; Pomacentridae. The record is from Ensembl.